CAGUCGUACCGACGAGAAAUCAACCUUUCGAGUGCGAACCUGUGGACGUGCGUGAGUCUUUAAUCACCCUCAUGUUUUACGUAUUCGUGCUCUUGGGUGUACUUGCCCGUGUGGUGGGUUAACAUCAAUUUUGGUCGUCAUAAAAUGACUGGAGGAAUGUAGCUUUGGUCUCGUAUCGAAGUGUUAUAGACUCUGGUAGAUGUGACGAUUGGGGAUUGAGGAUUGCAACGGGAUACCCCUUCGGGGCUACCUGUCUGGUCUCUGAUCGUUGCUCUGGUGCCGAAAGCUUGCUUACGGUUAUCAAAGUCGAUGGUCAAUAGGUUAGAACGGGUUAAUUCGUUAAGGAUGUUGACGUAAUG
This 359-nucleotide ribosomal RNA is filed under the name Glomus sp. (unid). Lineage: Eukaryota; Fungi; Glomeromycota; Glomeromycetes; Glomerales; Glomeraceae. The record is from RNAcentral.